RNAcentral lists this non-coding RNA (21 nucleotides) under Caenorhabditis elegans. Lineage: Eukaryota; Metazoa; Nematoda; Chromadorea; Rhabditida; Rhabditidae. The record is from RNAcentral.
UCGACGCUUUAAUAACAUAUU